UGAGGAAUAUUGCGCAAUGGGGGCAACCCUGACGCAGCAACGCCGCGAGUGAGGAAGGUUUUCGGACCGUAAAGCUCUGUCGAGCGGGAAGAAAUGCAUGGUGGCUAAUAUCCAUCAUGCUUGACGGUACCGCUAAAGGAAGCACCGGCUAACUCCGUGCCAGCAGCCGCGGUAAUACGGGGGGUGCGAGCGUUGUUCGGAAUUAUUGGGCGUAAAGAGCGUGUAGGCGGCCGAAUAAGUCAGAUGUGAAAUCCCUGGGCUUAACCCAGGACGUGCAUUUGAAACUAUUCGGCUGGAGUAGGGGAGAGGAAAGUGGAAUUCCUGGUGUAGAGGUGAAAUUCGUAGAUAUCAGGAGGAACACCGGUGGCGAAGGCGACUUUCUGGCCCUAUACUGACGCUGAGACGCGAGAGCGUGGGUAGCAAACAG
This 427-nucleotide ribosomal RNA is filed under the name uncultured bacterium. Its description in RNAcentral is "bacterial SSU rRNA". It matches the Rfam family "Bacterial small subunit ribosomal RNA", at positions 355 to 775 of the family's 1533-position model. The record is from RNAcentral.